GGGGGGGAGCACGUGGUCGCUCCGAUUACACAUCGGAGAGGAAAGUCCGGGCUCCUGAGGGCAGCGUAAUGGGUAAUACCCAUCUUCCGCUUUUGAUCUUUAAAGGAGUGAUCCUUUAAACGUUGCGGCGGGACGGAUUAGAGCCACAGAGACGAGUAGCAGUAGGAGGUUAUUCAACGCCUCCGGCUGCGAGAUGAAACGCGGCAAUCUCUACGCGGAGUAAGGUUCAAUAGGAGACAAGUGCUGCCCGGCACGCUAAAGUCUCGGGUUAACUGCUAGAGUCCCCGUGGCGACACGGGAUCUUAGAGAAAUGGCCACUAAUGGAUGCGGGAUAAUCGUAUCGACAACAGAACUCGGCUUAUGCUCCCUUUCCUUU
This 376-nucleotide RNase P RNA is filed under the name Candidatus Omnitrophota bacterium. RNAcentral's name for it is "Candidatus Omnitrophica bacterium RNase P RNA component class A". It matches the Rfam family "Bacterial RNase P class A". From Rfam's summary of the family: Ribonuclease P (RNase P) is a ubiquitous endoribonuclease, found in archaea, bacteria and eukarya as well as chloroplasts and mitochondria. Its best characterised activity is the generation of mature 5'-ends of tRNAs by cleaving the 5'-leader elements of precursor-tRNAs. The record is from RNAcentral. Lineage: Bacteria; Pseudomonadati; Candidatus Omnitrophota.